ACCAGAGUAAGUAUGAAUACUAGAAAAGAGUUUUCAUAAGAUUCAUAGAUGAACUUGAGUCAAGCCAAUCUAGUAUAUGACUGACGAUGGGAUUUGACGAGUUCUCCAUGACUUUCGUCAAGUCGGGACUCACGAUAGAGGGAUUAUAUCACAUGAUAACUGUAUCUAGGGGUUUAUUUUUUCUAUUCUACUGGGUUGCUACUACAUG
RNAcentral lists this long non-coding RNA (208 nucleotides) under Elaeis guineensis (African oil palm). RNAcentral describes it as "long non-coding RNA (EGUI_LNC079023)". Lineage: Eukaryota; Viridiplantae; Streptophyta; Magnoliopsida; Arecales; Arecaceae. The record is from RNAcentral.